AGAGUUUGAUCAUGGCUCAGGAUGAACGCUGGCGGCGUGCCUAAUACAUGCAAGUCGAACGCACAGCGAAAGGUGCUUGCACCUUUCAAGUGAGUGGCGAACGGGUGAGUAACACGUGGACAACCUGCCUCAAGGCUGGGGAUAACAUUUGGAAACAGAUGCUAAUACCGAAUAAAACUCAGUGUCGCAUGACACAAAGUUAAAAGGCGCUUUGGCGUCACCUAGAGAUGGAUCCGCGGUGCAUUAGUUAGUUGGUGGGGUAAAGGCCUACCAAGACAAUGAUGCAUAGCCGAGUUGAGAGACUGAUUGGCCACAUUGGGACUGAGACACGGCCCAAACUCCUACAGGAGGCUGCAGUAGGGAAUCUUCCACAAUGGGCGAAAGCCUGAUGGAGCAACGCCGCGUGUGUGAUGAAGGCUUUCGGGUCGUAAAGCACUGUUGUAUGGGAAGAACAGCUAGAAUAGGGAAUGAUUUUAGUUUGACGGUACCAUACCAGAAAGGGACGGCUAAAUACGUGCCAGCAGCCGCGGUAAUACGUAUGUCCCGAGCGUUAUCCGGAUUUAUUGGGCGUAAAGCGAGCGCAGACGGUUGAUUAAGUCUGAUGUGAAAGCCCGGAG
This 617-nucleotide ribosomal RNA is filed under the name uncultured bacterium. RNAcentral describes it as "bacterial SSU rRNA". It matches the Rfam family "Bacterial small subunit ribosomal RNA", at positions 8 to 607 of the family's 1533-position model. The record is from RNAcentral.